UGGGGAAUCUUGGACAAUGGGCGCAAGCCUGAUCCAGCCAUGCCGCGUGGAUGAUGAAGGCCUUAGGGUUGUAAAAUCCUUUCGUUGGGGACGAUAAUGACGGUACCCAAAGAAGAAGCUCCGGCUAACUACGUGCCAGCAGCCGCGGUAAUACGUAGGGUGCAAGCGUUAAUCGGAAUUACUGGGCGUAAAGCGUGCGCAGGCGGUUGUGUAAGUCAGAUGUGAAAUCCCCGGGCUCAACCUGGGAAUUGCAUUUGAGACUGCACGGCUAGAGUGUGUCAGAGGGGGGUAGAAUUCCACGUGUAGCAGUGAAAUGCGUAGAUAUGUGGAGGAAUACCGAUGGCGAAGGCAGCCCCCUGGGAUAACACUGACGCUCAUGCACGAAAGCGUGGGGAGCAAACAGGAUUAGAUACCCGGUAGUCCCUGAGCGGGCUGGCAAGGCGCAU
This 446-nucleotide ribosomal RNA is filed under the name uncultured bacterium. RNAcentral describes it as "bacterial SSU rRNA". It matches the Rfam family "Bacterial small subunit ribosomal RNA", at positions 355 to 825 of the family's 1533-position model. The record is from RNAcentral.